GAGUGACAUGUUGCUAUAAACAACCCUGUGUUUUCAAUAUGUGGAGCUUUAUCUGCAUUCUGAUCACACUAUCGUGUUCAUGAGAGAUUUCCCUACGUCAUGUAAUAAUAUAUUUCUGCACUCAAUGAACAACUGUUUAAAAUAAUGAGCAUAGUCAAAACAUGUUAUAAACAUUUUUUUAACAUCUUCACAGUUCAACUCAUCGUAAUACCAUUUUCUUUUUUGUUUUGUCGAGUUUUUACAAUACAUCUUGAUUCUACAGUCACUGCUGAGUCUGAUGGUGUCAACCAAAACUGGCUUGCUCGUAUAUGAGGUGAGCUAUGGCAUAUAAUAAAGAAACAUGUCUCACUCGAGCAUGCAAGAUGUGGUCCGACAUGAGUGUUAGCGGGAGAGCGGAGCAGCCAAUCAGCUGCAAGCUUACCAAUCUGCCUAGGCGCCAGGAAUCAAGUGAACAGACUAUACUACUACUACUACUACUACUAAAGACAGGGAGAGAGAGGUACCUGUAUUAUGGAGUCAGAUGUACACCUGCCACCACCACCUACACCACCGCCGCCCGUCGUCAGCCAUUUCGUGUCAGUAGCAACAAUUCUUCACUCAUUCCGCUGCGUGACUACCAUGUUUUUUGAUUUCCUUUACACGUGAGUCCUGUGGCUGGCAGCUGUCUUGGCUUCCUUGGUAUAACUUUCUUAGGGCGUACAUACAAUAACCUCAGUUUCUUUUUUUUCUGGCGUCUAAGUUCAUGUCUCCUUGCUUGUUAUGUUGCCGUUUUUAUUUCAACAUACCACUCAGCCUGUGCUCGCCCCACCACGCCGCGCAAAAGGGUAGUGGACGGUCCUCAAGCCCCUGGACAGGCCAUGUGGGGCAGCUUCCCGUUCAUGGCCGAGCACUUCGCCUCAGUCGUGGCGUGAGGUCAGGGAACUUAGCUGCCAUACUACAGAAGUAAUGCUAUAAAGUGUGGUCAUGUUGGUUGAUGUGCUUAUUAUUAUCAGGGAACUUGACUGUCAUACUAUGGAAGUGAUCCUAUAAAAUGUGGUCAUGUUGUAUGGUGGGCUUACUAAUAUUAUUAUUUCUUUCCGCCAUAGAUGAAUAAACCUCCCCGCGUAUCCACCCUCUUAACCAUCUCAACCUUAAGGGGCUAUUACACUGGGCAAAUUUUCCGUGGAUCUUCAGUCAAACCACGAUUUCCGUUGGCGUGGUUCUCAUAUUUCCGUGGUUUUCUGACGUGUCCAUGAUCUUCCAAAGCUACGUUAGAUUUCAUCGAAGAACGACGGUAUUACUCACCAUCAUCAUCAGCAGCAAUAACAAGAAACAAGAAAUCGUGGUUUGACUGAAGAUCCACGGAAAAUUUGCCCAGUGUAAUAGCCCCUUUAAACUUCCUACUGUUAUGUUUCUUGCUUGUCACGCUGGUGGAUGGACUUCAUAUUAUUACGUACUAUUUAUUUUCGCCACAGAUGAAGGAACCGCCAUUACAAUCAUUACCAUUAUUACAAACGCACACAGCUGACAAUAGUACAAGUGUUACGUUUUGGUGAGUGACUCGUCCAUUCACUACUUGCUUCAAUGCUUCGAGAGGAUAACAAGCGAUCGACUACACAAACCGGUGCUCAUCUCAUUCGAUUGUGUUGUCAGCUAGUUUCAUUUCGCAGCUAACUAAAAGAAAUAUUAAAGAAUCCUUACAUGUUUUAAAGUCUCUAAGGAACGCCGAUUAGGUACUACACACACGCGCACGCCACACGCAGAUACACUUCCUUAGACACGAUUACCACUCAAACACUCACUUUUUCACUAGUUAACCAGGUAUUCAACUAGUCAAUCAAAUAAUCCCUAUAAAGUUUAAAAUCUCUAAAGAACGAAAAUUAGGUACUACAUACACGCGCACGCCACACGCAGAUACACUUCCUUAGACACGAUUACUACUCAAACACUCACUUUUCACUAGUUAACCAGGUAUUCAACUAGGCACGUGCGGUGAUGAAGCUUCAUGUGUUUAGGUAUCCUACCAGAGUUAUUUUUGGUGGUUAUUUUGCGUAUUUUCACCACAGAGCUCGGUAUCAUAUCUCUCGUUUACUUGCCAGCGGUCAGAAGGCUACCAGGUAUUAGUCAGACAACACGCACUCGCUCUUACACUAGAAACAACACAGUACUGGCGUAAACAUCUCUUUCUCGCCCCUUCCUGAUGCCUGACGUCGCCUGCUUGUGCUCGGGCGUUCCCAGAAAUGAAAGCAGUUGACAAGACACGCGAAUAGGAUGAGAACCAGUUUGCGGAUGACGAUGUGUUGUGCGAUAUAUGUGAACAUCAAAAUAUCUGCAGGAGUGUCUAUUUAUCAUUUCCAGGCUAAUGAAGAUCGCAAAAUAUAAGUGUUUGAUAAUGAGUUAGAUUGGGUGGCAGUAUUUGUGUGGGUGCGAGAGUUUAUGGUUACAAAUCGAUCUAUACAAUGUGAUGAUGAUCUGGUAUACAGCGUCUUGUAAUCCCUUCCAAUCUAUUAAAGAGUGUGAAAAAAAAUGCUUGACAAGGAGUUAGAUUGGGUGGCGGUAUUUGUGUGGGUGCGAUAGUUUAUGGUUACAAAUCGAUCUAUACAAUGUGAUUAUGAUCUGGUAUACAGCGUCUUGUAAUCCCUUCCAAUCUAUUAAAGAGUGUGAAAAAAAGUGCUUGACAAGGAGUUAGAUUGGGAAGCGGUAUUUGUGUGGGUGCGAUAGUUUACGGUUACAAAUCGAUCUAUACAAUGUGAUUAUGAUCUGGUAUACAGCGUCUUGUAAUCCCUUCCAAUCUAUUAAAGAGUGUGAAAAAAAAUGCUUGACAAGGAGUUAGAUUGGGUGGCGGUAUUUGUGUGGGUGCGAUAGUUUAUGGUUACAAAUCGAUCUAUACAAUGUGAUUAUGAUCUGGUAUACAGCGUCUUGUAAUCCCUUCCAAUCUAUUAAAGAAACGUGAAAAAUAAGUGUUUGACAAGGAGUUAGAUUGGGUGGCGGUAUUUGUGUGGGUGCGAGAGUUUAUGUCCAGAAGCCGAUCUAUACAAUGUGAUGAUGAUCUGGUAUACAGCGUCUUUUAAUCCUUUCCAGUCUAAUAAAAAACGUGAAAAAUAAGUGCUUGACAAGGAGUUAGAUUGGGUGGCGGUAUUUGUGUGGGUGCGAUAGCUUAUGAUCAGAAAUCGAUUUUUACAAUGUGAUUAUGAUCUGGUAUUAUGAUCUGGUGUUUUAAUCCCUUCCAGUCUAACAAAGAACGUGAAAAAUAAGUGCUUGACGAGGAGUUAGAUUGGGAAGCGGUAUUUGUGUGGGUGCGAUAGUUUAUGGUCAGAAAUCGAUCUAUACAAUGUGAUUAUGAUCUGGUAUACAGCGUCUUUUAAUCCCUUCCAGUCUAAUAAAGAACGUGAAAAAUAAGUGUUUGACAAGGAGUUAGAUUGGGUGGCGGUAUUUGUGUGGGUGCGAGAGCUUAUGUCCAGAAGCCGAUCUAUACAAUGUGAUGAUGAUCUGGUAAACAGCGUCUUUUAAUCCUUUCCAGUCUAAUGAAGGUGAAAAAUAAGUGUUUAAAGCAAUAAGUUCGACUGGAUAGUGGUAUUUGUGUGAGAGUGAUAGUUUAUGGUCAGAAGCCAAUAUUUACAAUGUGAUGAUGAUCUGGUAUACAGCGUCUUUUAAUCCUUUCCAGUCUAAUGAAGAAGGUGAAAAUUAAGUGUUAAAAGCAAUAAGUUCGACUGGAUAGCGGUAUUUGUGUGAGAGCGAUAGUUUAUGGUCAGAAGUCGAUCAGUACAAUGGGAUGAUGAUAUGGUAAGCUGGAACUUGCCACGCAGAUGUUUAUUCUAAGACAAAAUUGAGCAUGAGAAGCAUAACAGAUGAAAAAAUAUACCAGAUUACAAUAAUAUGAUGCUCUCCAUAUCACUCGCUCUGUUGAAACCCUUUUGUCCUCGUGAAUUUCAACACUAAACUGAUGAUUGCUUUCCUAAAUCCAUUAAUUUUGUAUAAUUCUAGGAACACUUAGUGCUUAUCUAUAUAUCUUCCUUGACACCACACAGGAAUACCAAAAUACCUACCUUUGUUUGAUGCAGCGAUGGAAAAAAAUUACAACACUGCUUGAUUUCCUUCUGUGGCACCAUGAUCUGCCACACAAUAGUAUAGUCAAAUGUACAGCAAGGGAGCGGGGAGGAAUAAAUGGGUGCGAGGGGAGGAAGUUCGUUAUAUAUAUAUACAUAGUAGUGGUAGCAGUAGUAGUAAUAGUAGUGGUAGUAGUAGUAGUAGUAGUAGUAGUAGUAGCAUGGUAGUAGCAGCACCGCACUCGUCCUCUAAAUGUUCGCACUCAGUAACAAAACAAUAUCUUUCUGGAGUCUACUCAAUAAAUUGUUACACACACAAAAAAAAA
Eriocheir sinensis (Chinese mitten crab) is the source of this 4351-nucleotide long non-coding RNA. RefSeq lists it as uncharacterized. The record is from RefSeq and is a predicted model, not a curated record. NCBI's taxonomy places the organism in Eukaryota, Metazoa, Arthropoda, Malacostraca, Decapoda, Varunidae. The transcript is spliced from 2 exons.